This 268-nucleotide ribosomal RNA is filed under the name uncultured Oscillospiraceae bacterium. RNAcentral's name for it is "partial 16S ribosomal RNA". It matches the Rfam family "Bacterial small subunit ribosomal RNA", at positions 75 to 339 of the family's 1533-position model. Lineage: Bacteria; Bacillati; Bacillota; Clostridia; Eubacteriales; Oscillospiraceae. The record is from RNAcentral.
UUAGUUUACUAUUGGAGCGGUUAGUGGCGGACUGGUGAGUAACACGUAAGCAACCUGCCUAUCAGAGGGGAACAACAGUUAGAAAUGACUGCUAAUACCGCAUAUACCCAAGUGUCACAUGGCACAAUGGGGAAAGGAGCAAUCCGCUGAUAGAUGGGCUUGCGUCUGAUUAGCUAGUUGGUGGGGUAACGGCCUACCAAGGCGACGAUCAGUAGCCGGACUGAGAGGUUGAACGGCCACAUUGGGACUGAGAUACGGCCCAGACUCC